AAGUCGUAACAAGGUUUCCGUAGGUGAACCUGCGGAAGGAUCAUUAACGAGAGAAUGCUACUGUUCUACUGCGGUAGAGUGUAGUAGUCAUUUAAUAAUGAUAAUUUGUUGAACGAUAGUCGCUCGUUUUAGCGUAAAGCUAAAAACAUAAUUAUGUUAACGAGUAUGCUAGUUGGUUAAUGAUGUGCGUGCGCGCUUAAUUGCGUGCAUGUACAUAGAGCGACCGAACUACUGACUGCUGCUCGGGGUACGGCCAGUAGUGUAAUGCUACGGUGAGUCGUACCUGUGUCAUUUUUAAAUUUGAGUAAUAAAAUUCGCGUACGCGUGUUUAAGCGAGUACGUGUAGACUUGUGAAAGAGAGAAUAAUAAUAAAAUGCAUAACUGCAAACGGUGGAUCACUCGGCUCACG
Molecule: unclassified non-coding RNA, 409 nt
Filed under: fungal sp.
Lineage: Eukaryota; Fungi
Description: partial internal transcribed spacer region
Rfam family: Eukaryotic small subunit ribosomal RNA (bases 1-46)
Source: RNAcentral